UACAGAGGUGCCAAGCGUUAGGCGGAAUCACUGGGCUUAAAGCGCGUGUAGGCGGGUCGUUAAGUGUCCGAGUGAAAUCCCACGGCUCAACCGUGGAACUGCCGGGCAUACUGGCGAUCUUGAGGCAUUCAGGGGCGAGCGGAACAAAUGGUGGAGCGGUGAAAUGCGUAGAUAUCAUUUGGAACGCCAAUGAUGAAAACAGCUCGCUGGGAAUGAUCUGACGCUGAGACGCGAAAGCCAGGGGAGCGAACGGG
RNAcentral lists this ribosomal RNA (254 nucleotides) under uncultured bacterium. RNAcentral describes it as "partial 16S ribosomal RNA". It matches the Rfam family "Bacterial small subunit ribosomal RNA", at positions 524 to 776 of the family's 1533-position model. The record is from RNAcentral.